Molecule: long non-coding RNA, 449 nt
Organism: Hydra vulgaris (swiftwater hydra)
Lineage: Eukaryota; Metazoa; Cnidaria; Hydrozoa; Anthoathecata; Hydridae
Source: RefSeq, a predicted model, not a curated record
GCAAACAAAUUUGCAAACGAACAACAAAAUGUAACAAAACAGAUUUGAACUACUGUGAAACAAGCAGCUGUUACAGAGAUAUUCAUUUUGGUUCAUCUUCAACGCUUUUGUAAAUACAAUACCAUAAAUAGACGUACAUGCACGCAUGGUAAACAUAAGGAGUCGGGUAAAAUUUCAGUCCCACUUUUAGAAAUGCCUUAACAUACAUCGAUUCAUGUGGAAUUAGAUUUGCAGAAAACAUUUUGGAACACUCAAUUCGCGGUUCCAUCCACUGUUACAAAUAUUUAAAAAUCUAACUAUAUGGGGGUUUUUCAAACAUUUAAAAAUCUAACUAUAUGGGGGUUUUUUCAAACGUUUUUAAAUUUAGAAACAGUUCCUGUUACUUCAUGAGAGUUUGAAAAAAAAAAAUUCUGCCUGAAUACUUGUAAAAAAUAAGAAAGAAAGCAAAA